AUGAUGUGGAUUAAUUCGAUGCAACGCGAAAACCUUACCUACCCUUGACAUGUCUGGAACCUUGCUGAGAGGCGAGGGUGCCUUCGGGAGCCAGAACACAGGUGCUGCAUGGCUGUCGUCAGCUCGUGUCGUGAGAUGUUGGGUUAAGUCCCGCAACGAGCGCAACCCUUGUCACUAGUUGCCAUCAUUUGGUUGGGCACUCUAGUGAGACUGCCGGUGACAAACCGGAGGAAGGUGGGAUGACGUCAAGUCCUCAUGGCCUUUAUGUCUAGGGCUACACACGUACUACAAUGGCCGGUACAAAGGGCAGCCACUCAGCGAUGAGGCGCUAAUCCCAUAAAGCCGGUCUCAGUCCGGAUCGCAGUCUGCAACUCGACUGCGUGAAGUUGGAAUCGCUAGUAAUCGUAGAUCAGCAUGCUACGGUGAAUACGUUCCCGGGCCUU
This 443-nucleotide ribosomal RNA is filed under the name uncultured Thauera sp. RNAcentral describes it as "bacterial SSU rRNA". It matches the Rfam family "Bacterial small subunit ribosomal RNA", at positions 936 to 1382 of the family's 1533-position model. Lineage: Bacteria; Pseudomonadati; Pseudomonadota; Betaproteobacteria; Rhodocyclales; Zoogloeaceae. The record is from RNAcentral.